UUGGAAAUAACAGGUUUGUUAGUUGUUUCAUGAGAAAGGGGAAGGAAAUUGCUUGGGUGUUUAAAUCGCUUGCAAUCAAUCCCCGAAUUGCCGGUUGUUAAAAUGAUAAACGUUCUUCAUGGAGUUCAGUCAAAUUCACCUGAGUAGUUGCUGGUGAGGAUGGAGCUGGUAUUUAUGGUGCAGAUGAAGCAAAUGGUGUCUCAAUUAGAACUGAAUUAGAAUUCAAAUAAAUCUAAAACUUUAUUUUUCUUA
This 252-nucleotide small RNA is filed under the name Drosophila virilis. RNAcentral describes it as "GJ26395". Lineage: Eukaryota; Metazoa; Arthropoda; Insecta; Diptera; Drosophilidae. The record is from RNAcentral.